RNAcentral lists this unclassified non-coding RNA (315 nucleotides) under plant metagenome. RNAcentral's name for it is "partial contains 5.8S ribosomal RNA, internal transcribed spacer 2, and large subunit ribosomal RNA". The stretch from base 1 to 105 matches the Rfam family "5.8S ribosomal RNA", at positions 50 to 154 of the family's 154-position model. The record is from RNAcentral.
GAACUGCGAUAAGUAAUGUGAAUUGCAGAAUUCAGUGAAUCAUCGAGUCUUUGAACGCACAUUGCGCCCCCUGGCAUUCCGGGGGGCAUGCCUGUCCGAGCGUCAUUGCUGCCCUCAAGCCCGGCUUGUGUGUUGGGUCGUCGUCCCCCCCGGGGGACGGGCCCGAAAGGCAGCGGCGGCACCGUGUCCGGUCCUCGAGCGUAUGGGGCUUUGUCACCCGCUCGAUUAGGGCCGGCCGGGCGCCAGCCGGCGUCUCCAACCUUAUUUUUCUCAGGUUUACCUCGGAUCAGGUAGGGAUACCCGCUGAACUUAAGC